Molecule: ribosomal RNA, 391 nt
Filed under: uncultured eukaryote
Lineage: Eukaryota
Description: partial 18S ribosomal RNA
Rfam family: Eukaryotic small subunit ribosomal RNA
Source: RNAcentral
CAAUAGCGUAUAUUAAAGUUGUUGCAGUUAAAAAGCUCGUAGUUGGAUUUCUGUGAGAGUGCCGGUGUCGGCUGAUGCUUGUACGCAGGCGCUCUUACAUCCUUCUGUUAACUGUUCUUGGCAUUUUAUUGCUGGUUCAGGGCUCAGAUAUUUUACCUUGAGAAAAUUAGAGUGUUUCAGGCAGGCUUAUGCCGGAAUACAUUAGCAUGGAAUAAUGGAACAGGACCUGUGCGUCUCUCGGGGCGCCGGUCUCCGUUGUUGGUUUCGGGGACUAAUGUAAUGAUUAAUAGGGAUAGUUGGGGGCAUUAGUAUUUAAUAGUCAGAGGUGAAAUUCUCGGAUUUGUUAAAGACUAACUUAUGCGAAAGCAUUUGCCAAGAAUGUUUUCAUUAA